CUUCAAACCGCGGUUAAUCUGAGGAUUUUCAAAGCCCAAUAAACCACUUUGAACUAAUCAGUGGAAGAGGCAAGAGUGGUUCGUCAUUUGUUCGCGCCGUGAUGUGUUCAGCGUGAAUAGCAAUUGAUAGUGAAACCCAAAUUAGCUUGGCGAUUCUUGUGUGCGCACCGAAGAAGAUUUUAAGGUUCGUGGCAGCCGUCGAACGUCCAAAGCAUCACAUCUCCUCGUUGGUAACCACUCUUGACCCCACGGUUCGUCUCAAGGUUGGU
Long non-coding RNA from Topomyia yanbarensis, 269 nucleotides. RefSeq lists it as uncharacterized. The record is from RefSeq and is a predicted model, not a curated record. The transcript has 3 exons. NCBI's taxonomy places the organism in Eukaryota, Metazoa, Arthropoda, Insecta, Diptera, Culicidae.